AUGUCUGAUCGAUUGCAUUAUAGUUUGCCGAUGAAAUGCCCUCUGGACUUGUAUAACAUAUCAACCUUCCUAUUUGCCCACUUCGAUCCACUCCUUGUAAUCAUAUUGCUCAUGUUGUAUUGUGCUGUAUCAACUUGUAUUUUUGAAUAUUUUUCAAUACUCUCUGGACCACAAUUACUAAUUAUAUAUAAUAUAUAUGACUAUUUUGAAAUUUAUCUAUUUAUAGAUUCAUAUGGAGUUAAAAUACAAAUAGUUAUGCCAAUUCUUUUUAUGCCUUAUUCUGAAUAUUUCAUACAGCAAAUCUUAAGUAUAUUUACCUAA
This 321-nucleotide ribosomal RNA is filed under the name Triticum aestivum (bread wheat). RNAcentral describes it as "partial small subunit ribosomal RNA". Lineage: Eukaryota; Viridiplantae; Streptophyta; Magnoliopsida; Poales; Poaceae. The record is from RNAcentral.